AGGGAAUAUGGCUCAUUUAUUUGCUGAGUGGGACUGGAGGCCCAUAGCCGCAGAAGAUCCUGGCCCCACAGCAGCAGAGAGCAAGCUCAGAGUGCUGUCAGGUCUCUCCUGCUGCCUCUCGCCAUGAUGAUGUAGUGGAAAAAUGGUCAACAAAGCUAUUUCCUACUGUGUGCUAAAUGCCCAUCAUGGGAAGUCCCAGGAACAAGAAGAUCAUGGGUGAGGCAGCUGCUCAGAAACAAAUGUCUUUCAACAAUUACCCCCAGGCAUGGGUGAUACAUCCUCUUCGCAGACAGCAGAAAAACAUCAGAUUUGUGAUUUAAUUGGGAGUUUUCUGGGAUCGAACAGUGGCUUCGUUUACAGGUGGAAGUGGAGAAUCAGCCUGAAAGGGGACAAACAAAUCAAGAGAAUGUAUGUAUUCCUCCUGAAAGUGGUCAUUAGGGGGCAGUGGGGAAAGGAGCAUUUCAGUUUGCAACAUUCCUGAUUAGCAUUAGGCAGACAUGAUUCUGCUGGAAGAAAUACUCAUGGGACACUAAUCCUACUUAGAGGGUUAACAUAUUGCUUGAUCAGAAACAUAUGCAAUAAUGAAAAGUUUCAGGAAUUCCUUUUCCUAGGGGUGUGUGUGUGUGUGUGUGUUUAUUUAAAGACCAGAGAUAGGCUCUUCACAUUUAAAUAGAUUGCUGACUAGUUAUUUAGGCAAGCUAGGAAUAUCUAAGGACAUCUCAACCAUCUGAGUUGACACAAUGGAAAAUGACCUGGCUCUUUAGGAGACCAGACUCUGACAGCACUGUCAGUAGAAGGACCACUGCUAGAGCAGAGAGGCAGUACUCCUACACGGGUUUUUUUUUUUUUUUUUUUGAGACGGAGUCUCACUCUGUCACCAGGCUGGAGUGCAGUGGUGCAAUCUCGGCUCACUGCAACCUCUGCCUCCCAGGUUCAAGUGAUUCUCCUGCCUUAGCCUCCCGAGCAGCUAGGACUACAGGCGCGCACCACCACGCCCAGCUAAUUUUUGUAUUUUUAGUAGAGGUGGAAUUUCACCAUGUUGGCCAGGAUGGUCUCGAUCUCUUGAUCCAUCCACCUCGGCCUCCCAAAGUGCUGGGAUUACAGGCGUGAGCCACCGUGACCGGCCUCCUACAUGAUGUUUUCUAGAGCACUGGCUCACAGGCUAUCUUCUGCUCUCUCACACAUGACGGGUGAUGCUCAUUGGCACAGUCUCUGGCAGCCUAGCCCUAAUUCCACCUAUUCCAUUCAGGAAAUCUAUCAGAAUUUGAGCGAGAGUAAUAUAAUUAUAGGGAUAACUUCGAAUACAUUAGAAAGGUGAGUCACAAACUAGUUACAAAUUAGUUGUGGUAUACCUGUCAACUCAUUCUGAUAUUCUAGUGUGCUAUAAAACCAGCAUUCAGACAUUCUGCUCUAGAGAGCAAUGGGUGGUUUUUCAACUGAGUCAAGAUUCUUUGUUUACUAAUACUGUUUAGAAGCAGAAUUUUUUUCUCCUAAUGAGUAUUUCUUAGACCAUUACUCCUGCUAUAAAGGAAAUACAUCUGGCUCAAGUCAGAAUGAGCAGCAUCACUCUUGUUCUACUCGAACAAAUGUCACCAAAGCAGCUUUUUAUUAAAGUAGCAUAAUCCUCCUUAGCUCCUCGAGGGAAUUACAGAUUCAUAGAAUGUUACAGCUGGAAAGGGCUUUACAGCAUCUAGAAAAAUGUCCUCAUUUCAUAAAUGAGAAAAUCUAGCCUAGAGAAGUAAAAAGACUCACCCUUGAUUACAAAGCCAGUAAUAAGCAGACUCAGGAAGCGUACAAGGUCUUAAUGAGUCAGUCUAGUACAAACUACACCAUAAUCUAGUAAGAAAGGAAGAAGAGGGAUCGCAGAUUGAAGGGAUAGGAAAUUGUGAUCUUUAGGAAGUUCAAAGUGAAAAUGAUCAGAGGCUGACAUAGUAAAGACAUAAAAAGGUGUGGCAGUACUAAACAGCUCAAGAAGUGCUGCUGCCCAUGGGAGAACACUUAGGAUUGAAAAUAAGUAUGAAUAAAUGCUCAACUUUCUGGCAAAAAGUUGAGAAAUUAUGUGAGUUUGGAACCCUUGAACCAGGACUUAAAAAUAGAUAUUUUUAUUUAAGUGGCUGAAAUUAUCUAGUGAGUAAUAUUGGAUUUAGAAGAGAGAACUGGACAGGAAGUGUAAGGAAAUCUGAAAGCACAAAGAAAGAAUUACAUUGCAUUAGAGUGUGAAGUUAUUUACCUAAAGCUCUUUGGUAUCAGAAAUUCAAGAAAAUUUUUGGCUUAAUCACUUGUAUAAAAUAAGGACCGGCCGGGCUCGGUGGCUCACGCCUGUAAUCCCAGCACUCUAGGAGGCCGAGGCGGGUGGAUCACCUGAGGUCAGGAGUUCGAGGCCAGCCUGACCAACAUGGAGAAACCCCGUCUCUACUAAAAAUACAAAUAAAAUUAGCCGGGCAUGGUGGUGCAUGCCUGUAAUCCCAGGUACUUGGGAGGCUGAGGCAGAAGAAGGGCUUGAACUCGGGAGGCAGAGGUUGCAGUGAGCCGAGAUUGUGCCACUGCACUCCAGUCUGGGUGACAGAGCGAGACUCCGUCUCAAAAAAAAAAAAAUAAGGACCACUACAAGGCUUUACAGUAUAAGAAUUUUGGGGCCAGGCAAGUGGCUCAUGCCUGUAAUCCCAGCACUUUGGGAGGCCAAGGCAAGCAGAUCACCUGAGGUCAGGAGUUCAAGACCAGCCUGGCCAACAUGGUGAAACCCCAUCUCUACUAAAAAUAUCAAAAAAAAAAAAAAAAAAAAAGCUGGAAAUGGUGGUGUGCCUGUAAUCCCAGCUACUUGGGAGGCUGAGGCAAGAGAAUUGCUUGAACCUGGGAGGCGGAGGUUGCAGUAAGCCAAGAUCAUGCCACUGCGCUCCAGCCUGGGUGACCGAGAGGGACUCCAUCUCAAAUAAUAAUAAAGAAAAAAGAAUGUUUGCAUGUUCUUCUACUCCCAAGAGCACUCUUCCCUUCUUAAGAUAUACUGCACAUUGGUAAAAGAUUAAAAACAAAACAAA
Molecule: long non-coding RNA, 3035 nt
Filed under: Homo sapiens (human)
Lineage: Eukaryota; Metazoa; Chordata; Mammalia; Primates; Hominidae
Description: HSALNT0012917
Rfam family: Metazoan signal recognition particle RNA (bases 2299-2415)
Source: RNAcentral